This 368-nucleotide ribosomal RNA is filed under the name uncultured prokaryote. RNAcentral's name for it is "partial 16S ribosomal RNA". The record is from RNAcentral.
CCCUAUGGGGCGCAGCCGAGGCCAAAGCCGUGAGCAAAACGAUACACGCCGCAGCAACAACAGCAUAAAUAAUAAUUUUUUUCUUUUUCAUAUUUUUAUCUCCCUGGAAUUUGCUUUGUUGACUAAAAAGUAAAGAAAUUUGUUUGUGAAGUCAAUAUUUAUAUAGAUACACAAUAGUAUACUUAACGAAUACAACUUGAAAAAUUCAGUCCUUUUGAGUUAAGCAUUAUUCCGCGAAAAAAAAAUAUUUAAGAAGCAGGAGCGAAAUGUAAUGAAGGUAUUAGUUAAAAAAGGAAAGCUUCAGGAUAUAACAAGCCAGACGGUUAUUUUGGCUUUAUUUCAAGAUCAAAAGGAAUUGGCGGGGGGGC